GACGAACGCUGGCGGCGUGCCUAAUACAUGCAAGUAGAACGCUGAAGGAGGAGCUUGCUUCUCCGGAUGAGUUGCGAACGGGUGAGUAACGCGUAGGUAACCUGCCUGGUAGCGGGGGAUAACUAUUGGAAACGAUAGCUAAUACCGCAUAAGAGUAGAUGUUGCAUGACAUUUGCUUAAAAGGUGCACUUGCAUCACUACCAGAUGGACCUGCGUUGUAUUAGCUAGUUGGUGAGGUAACGGCCCACCAAGGCGACGAUACAUAGCCGACCUGAGAUGGUGAUCGGCCACACUGGGACUGAGACACGGCCCAGACUCCUACGGGAGGCAGCAGUAGGGGAUCUUCGGCAAUAGACGGAAGGCUGACCGAACAACGCCGCGGGAGUGAAGAAGGUUCUCGGAGCGUAAAGCUCUGUUGUAAGAGAAGAAAGAGUGUGAGGGUGGAAAGUUCACACUGUGACGGUAUCUUACCAGAAAGGGACGGCUAACUACGUG
RNAcentral lists this ribosomal RNA (495 nucleotides) under uncultured bacterium. Its description in RNAcentral is "partial 16S ribosomal RNA". It matches the Rfam family "Bacterial small subunit ribosomal RNA", at positions 28 to 507 of the family's 1533-position model. The record is from RNAcentral.